This 497-nucleotide ribosomal RNA is filed under the name uncultured bacterium. RNAcentral's name for it is "partial 16S ribosomal RNA". It matches the Rfam family "Bacterial small subunit ribosomal RNA", at positions 35 to 507 of the family's 1533-position model. The record is from RNAcentral.
GGGGGGGGGGGGGGGGGGGGGGGGGGGGGGGGGGGCGGGCGGGCGGGCGGGGAGCGGGCGCCUCUGGCGUUGGCGGGGGAGGGGUGGGGAGGACGUGGCUAGCCUACCUAUAAGGCUGGGAUAACUGCGGGAAACCGGAGCUAAUGCCGGAUACUAUAUUGAACCGCAUGGUUCGAUAGUGAAAGGCGGUUUGUCUGGCACUUAUAUAUGGAGUCGCGUCGCCUUAGCUAGUUGGUAAGGUAACGGCUUACCAAGGCUACGAUGCGUAUGCGACCUGAGAGGGUGAUCGGCCACACUGGAACUGAGACACGGUCCAGACUCCUACGGGAGGCAGCAGUAGGGAAUCUUCCGCAAUGGGCGAAAGCCUGACGGAGCAACGCCGCGUGAGUGAUGAAGGUCUUCGGAUCGUAAAACUCGGUUAUUAGGGAAGAACAAAUGUGUAAGUAACUAUGCACGUCUUGACGGUACCUAAUCAGAAAGCCACGGCUAACUACGUG